This 2006-nucleotide ribosomal RNA is filed under the name Prodoris clavigera. RNAcentral describes it as "SSU rRNA". It matches the Rfam family "Eukaryotic small subunit ribosomal RNA". The record is from RNAcentral. Lineage: Eukaryota; Metazoa; Mollusca; Gastropoda; Nudibranchia; Bathydorididae.
UUGUCUCAAAGAUUAAGCCAUGCAUGUCUUAGUUCGCCCCUUCGGACGGGGACACCGCGAAUGGCUCAUUAAAUCAGUCGAUGUUCAUUAGACGACACGACCCGUUCACUCGGAUAACUGUGGCAAUUCCAGAGCUAAUACGUGCCUCGCAAGCCCUGACCCCCAUGCGAACGGGGGAAUGGGCGCUUUUAUUAGUUCAAAACCGGUGCGCUCCUCCUUCGCCUCACGGCGGGGGUAGGGAGCGCUCCAUUUUUGGUGACUCUGGAUAACCUUUCGCUGAUCGCACGGCCCCGGCGCCGGCGACGCAUCUUUCAAAUGUCUGCCCUAUCAAAUGUCGACGGUACGUGAUAGGCCCACCGUGUUGGCGACGGGUAACGGGGAAUCAGGGUUCGAUUCCGGAGAGGGAGCACGAGAAACGGCUACCACAUCCAAGGAAGGCAGCAGGCGCGCAACUUACCCACUCCUGGCACGGGGAGGUAGUGACGAAAAAUAACAAUACGGGACUCUUUUUGAGGCCCCGUAAUUGGAAUGAGUGCAGUCUAAAUCCUCGCGUGAGGACCGAUUGGAGGGCAAGUCUGGUGCCAGCAGCCGCGGUAAUUCCAGCUCCAAUAGCGUAUAUUAAAGUUGUUGCAGUUAAAAAGCUCGUAGUUGGAUCUCGGGGCAGGCGGGCGGUCCGGCUCGCGCCGGCUCGCCGCCCGUUUCCCUGCCCCACCCCUGCCGGCUCCCUCCCGGCGGUGCUCUUCGUUGAGCGUCCCGGGUGGCCGGUGCGUUUACUUUGAAAAAAUUAGAGUGUUCAAGGCGGGCCCGAAGCGCCCGCAUAUCCGUGCAUGGAAUAAUGGAAUAGGACCCCGGGUCUCUAUUUUGCUGGUUUUCGGAAUCCGAGGUAAUGAUUGACAGGGACAAACGGGGGCAUUCGUAUUGCGGCGUUAGAGGUGAAAUUCUUGGAUCGCCGCAAGACGAACUACUGCGAAAGCAUUUGCCAAGAAUGUUUUCAUUAAUCAAGAACGAAAGUCAGAGGCGCGAAGACGAUCAGAUACCGUCGUAGUUCUGACCAUAAACGAUGCCGACCGGCGAUCCGCGGGAGUUGCUUUGAUGACUCUGCGGGCGGCCUCCGGGAAACCUGAGUCUUUGGGUUCCGGGGGAAGUAUGGUUGCAAAGCUGAAACUUAAAGGAAUUGACGGAAGGGCACCACCAGGAGUGGAGCCUGCGGCUUAAUUUGACUCAACACGGGAAAACUCACCUGGUCCGGACACCGCGAGGAUUGACAGAUUGACAGCUCUUUCUUGAUUCGGUGGGUGGUGGUGCAUGGCCGUUCUUAGUUGGUGGAGCGAUUUGUCUGGUUGAUUCCGAUAACGAACGAGACUCUGGCCUGUUAAAUAGGACGCCGGUUUCCGCGCGCCCCGGUCUCCCCCCUGCCCGUCCGACGUGCCUGCUGGGCGCGCUCGCGUGUGCGUUUUUGUGUGCGAGUGCAGGCGCCAGUGCCCCUUUCCGAAGGUGCGCGGCGUUCGCGUUUGUGUGCAUCGGCGUGUGUGUGGGUGUGCCUGGCGCGCGACGGUGGCGGUGGUGGCGGGUGCUCCGGGCGGACGCGCGCGCCGGUGGACACACUUCUUAGAGGGACGAGCGGCGUUUAGCCGUGCGAGAUUGAGCAAUAACAGGUCUGUGAUGCCCUUAGAUGUCCGGGGCCGCACGCGCGCUACACUGAAGGGAUCAGCGUGGUUGUCUCCCUGGGCCGAGAGGACUGGGAAACCCGUUGAAUCCCCUUCGUGCUAGGGACCGGGGCUUGUAAUUCUUCCCCGCGAACGAGGAAUUCCCAGUAAGCGCGGGUCAUAAGCCCGCGUUGAUUACGUCCCUGCCCUUUGUACACACCGCCCGUCGCUACUAUCGAUUGAGCGGUUCAGUGAGGGCAUCGGAUUGGUCGCGGCCUGGGGUUUGCACCCCGGCGCCCGUGCGCCGAGAAGACGCCCGAACUCGAUCGCUUGGAGAAAGUAAAAGUCGUAACAAGGUUU